UGGAUUAGUGGCGAACGGGUGAGUAACACGUGAGCAACCUGCCCCUGACUCUGGGAUAAGCGCUGGAAACGGCGUCUAAUACUGGAUAUGUCCCAUCACCGCAUGGUGUGUGGGUGGAAAGAUUUUUCGGUUGGGGAUGGGCUCGCGGCCUAUCAGCUUGUUGGUGAGGUAAUGGCUCACCAAGGCGUCGACGGGUAGCCGGCCUGAGAGGGUGACCGGCCACACUGGGACUGAGACACGGCCCAGACUCCUACGGGAGGCAGCAGUGGGGAAUAUUGCACAAUGGGCGGAAGCCUGAUGCAGCAACGCCGCGUGAGGGAUGACGGCCUUCGGGUUGUAAACCUCUUUUAGCAGGGAAGAAGCGAGAGUGACGGUACCUGCAGAAAAAGCACCGGCUAACUACGUGCCAGCAGCCGCGGUAAUACGUAGGGUGCAAGCGUUAUCCGGAAUUAUUGGGCGUAAAGAGCUCGUAGGCGGUCUGUCGCGUCUGCUGUGAAAUUCCGAGGCUCAACCUCGGGCUUGCAGUGGGUACGGGCAGACUAGAGUGCGGUAGGGGAGAUUGGAAUUCCUGGUGUAGCGGUGGAAUGCGCAGAUAUCAGGAGGAACACCGAUGGCGAAGGCAGAUCUCUGGGCCGUAACUGACGCUGAGGAGCGAAAGGGUGGGGAGCAAACAGGCUUAGAUACCCUGGUAGUCCACCCCGUAAACGUUGGGAACUAGUUGUGGGGUCCUUUCCACGGAUUCCGUGACGCAGCUAACGCAUUAAGUUCCCCGCCUGGGGAGUACGGCCGCAAGGCUAAAACUCAAAGGAAUUGACGGGGACCCGCACAAGCGGCGGAGCAUGCGGAUUAAUUCGAUGCAACGCGAAGAACCUUACCAAGGCUUGACAUACACGAGAACGGGCCAGAAAUGGUCAACUCUUUGGACACUCGUGAACAGGUGGUGCAUGGUUGUCGUCAGCUCGUGUCGUGAGAUGUUGGGUUAAGUCCCGCAACGAGCGCAACCCUCGUUCUAUGUUGCCAGCACGUAAUGGUGGGAACUCAUGGGAUACUGCCGGGGUCAACUCGGAGGAAGGUGGGGAUGACGUCAAAUCAUCAUGCCCCUUAUGUCUUGGGCUUCACGCAUGCUACAAUGGCCGGUACAAUGGGCUGCAAUACCGUGAGGUGGAGCGAAUCCCAAAAAGCCGGUCCCAGUUCGGAUUGAGGUCUGCAACUCGACCUCAUGAAGUCGGAGUCGCUAGUAAUCGCAGAUCAGCAACGCUGCGGUGAAUACGUUCCCGGGUCUUGUACACACCGCCCGUCAAGUCAUGAAAGUCGGUAACACC
RNAcentral lists this ribosomal RNA (1322 nucleotides) under Microbacterium esteraromaticum. RNAcentral describes it as "bacterial SSU rRNA". It matches the Rfam family "Bacterial small subunit ribosomal RNA", at positions 88 to 1421 of the family's 1533-position model. The record is from RNAcentral. Lineage: Bacteria; Bacillati; Actinomycetota; Actinomycetes; Micrococcales; Microbacteriaceae.